GGUGGCGAGUGGCGAACGGGUGAGUAAUAUAUCGGAACGUACCCUGGAGUGGGGGAUAACGUAGCGAAAGUUACGCUAAUACCGCAUACGAUCUACGGAUGAAAGUGGGGGAUCGCAAGACCUCAUGCUCGUGGAGCGGCCGAUAUCUGAUUAGCUAGUUGGUAGGGUAAAAGCCUACCAAGGCAUCGAUCAGUAGCUGGUCUGAGAGGACGACCAGCCACACUGGAACUGAGACACGGUCCAGACUCCUACGGGAGGCAGCAGUGGGGAAUUUUGGACAAUGGGCGAAAGCCUGAUCCAGCAAUGCCGCGUGAGUGAAGAAGGCCUUCGGGUUGUAAAGCUCUUUUGUCAGGGAAGAAACGGUGAGGGCUAAUAUCCCUUGCUAAUGACGGUACCUGAAGAAUAAGCACCGGCUAACUACGUGCCAGCAGCCGCGGUAAUACGUAGGGUGCAAGCGUUAAUCGGAAUUACUGGGCGUAAAGCGUGCGCAGGCGGUUUUGUAAGUCUGAUGUGAAAUCCCCGGGCUCAACCUGGGAAUUGCAUUGGAGACUGCAAGGCUAGAAUCUGGCAGAGGGGGGUAGAAUUCCACGUGUAGCAGUGAAAUGCGUAGAUAUGUGGAGGAACACCGAUGGCGAAGGCAGCCCCCUGGGUCAAGAUUGACGCUCAUGCACGAAAGCGUGGGGAGCAAACAGGAUUAGAUACCCUGGUAGUCCACGCCCUAAACGAUGUCUACUAGUUGUCGGGUCUUAAUUGACUUGGUAACGCAACUAACGCGUGAAGUAGACCGCCUGGGGAGUACGGUCGCAAGAUUAAAACUCAAAGGAAUUGACGGGGACCCGCACAAGCGGUGGAUGAUGUGGAUUAAUUCGAUGCAACGCGAAAAACCUUACCUACCCU
RNAcentral lists this ribosomal RNA (897 nucleotides) under uncultured bacterium. RNAcentral describes it as "bacterial SSU rRNA". It matches the Rfam family "Bacterial small subunit ribosomal RNA", at positions 87 to 981 of the family's 1533-position model. The record is from RNAcentral.